This 13403-nucleotide long non-coding RNA is filed under the name Solanum lycopersicum (tomato). RNAcentral describes it as "long non-coding RNA (SLYC_LNC000490)". The record is from RNAcentral. Lineage: Eukaryota; Viridiplantae; Streptophyta; Magnoliopsida; Solanales; Solanaceae.
GAAAAUCCAGGAAUUAUGAUUUUUUCAUCAUUUUGAGUAGGGGGAAGUUUUAUUACCCCUUUAUGAACAUGGUAAUAAAUGUUAUCCACUACACAAUUUUGUGUAAAAAAUGCAGCACUAAUCAAUCCAAAUUGUUUUGCAACUUCAACAGCCCAAGGGAGGAAUGGAUCAUAUACUAUGCAAUUUACAGGACAUCCACUAAUUGCCAAUUUUUGAAUAAGUUGAGACAGAGUAUCCGAACCAAUUUCUUUGAAUCGUGUAAUAUAGGCCACGAAAGUUCCUGCUUGAUCGCGACCACCAUCAUCAUAGCCAUCAGAUAUGGCCUCAAUUGACAUAGAAGUUGGCAAUUCCUUCAUGUUUUUCAAAAAGGAUUUUGUGAGUGCUAUAGUGAUUUUAACGCGUUUGGAUCGUAAACGUUUGGAGAAUUGAAGCAUUGGGUUGAUAUGACCUUGGACUGGAUAUGGCAAGAUCAAGCAAUGAGCUUUGUGAGUAGUCAUCUCUUGCAACUUCUCAAUUGAUGGCUGAAAUAAAAAAAAAUCAACUUAGUGUUGUAUAUUCUUAUAGUUAGUUGAUUGAGUUGAAGUGUACAAUUUGGAUUAUUGUGUGUUGGCUUCUUCCUCUUCUAUAUUCCAACUUUUUAUUGCCAACAUAUGCAAUGACACAAGACAAUUAUUGGGUAUACAAUGUACUAGUGACAUCUAAAUCUUAUCAAUAAAAAUUAAUGACUAAUAUAAAUGAAUUCACGUAAAAGGGUUAAAAAUAUUCUUAAACUAUAUAAAAUUCAAUAAAAAUAUUCUUAGCUAAUAACUUCAUCUAAAAUACUAUUGUCAUUUUUAAGAUUAAUAACUUUUUUAUGUUUUUUUUUUUUUGUUGACAUUAAAGGGGGGAAACGGAAUGGAUAAAGGUGAAAAAUAGAAUCUUUAAAAUAUUCUUUGAGAUUUGAAGAGAUUUUUGUAUGUCGGGUUUUUUCUUCCUCGUAAAAUUUGGAUUAAAAAAUCAAAAUGGUCAUAUUUUUAUAUACAUAAAGGACUAUUUUAGUAAGCUAAUGUAUAAAUAUAAAAGGACCAAGAAUAUUCAAACCCCAUAUAUCAAGGACCAUUUUGGUUAUUUUCACACUCAUUAAAAGUUUUAGUUUGAUCAAAAGGUUAAUAAAUUAGAAGGUCACUAAUCGGAAAAAAAAAGAUAAUGAAAAAAACUGUUUCCUUCUCUCUUCUUUCUUGUUGAAAAAUCUCUUAAAAUAUCGUAUUUGUUGCCUCUUCAAAAAAAAAUGAUCCAUUAUUAUAAAUAUGAACCGAAUAAAUUAGAUAAAAUACUCCAUUUCUCUUUUUUGAGAUCUCCAUAACUAAGUUUUUUUCAAGUUUUAAACAACUAUUCUCUGGAAAAGGUCUAUUAAUAGGGAAUAGGGACAAACUAGUUAGUCAAUUAGAUAAAAAUCCUUCAAAUUUAAAAAAUAAAAUAAAAUUGAUAAAUGAUAUAAAUUAAGGAUCGUCGUGAGUAACAGAAAAUCAAGUAAAGCAGUCUAGCUAGCUAGAGAAUUGAGCUUCUUAUAAACUCAAAACAAUACCAUUAUAAAAAAAAAAUAUCAAACUUUGGUACUUCAAUCAGAAAAAAGUAAUUACAAAAUACAAAUCUAUUUCUUUAUCAUUUAGGAAAUAGUAACCAACUUGGAAACAAAUUCUUCAAUGUUUUUAUCUGAACUUCCUCCUUCAUUCACAACAUUUCUAGCUAUUUCCUUCCAUUUCUUUGCAUUUUCUCUAAUUAGUUUUCCUUUAUCUUCUUCCAUCACUAGCUUUAUACAUUCUUCUAUAACUUCUCUUCUAACUACCCCUUUUUCAUCUUGUUUGGCUCUAACACCUAUUUCCCAAACAUCUUUCACAAGCUUUGCAUUUGUUGGUUGAUCAGACCAUUGUGGCAUUGCCACCAUUGGCACUCCCAAACUAAUCGCUUCCAGAGUUGAAUUCCAUCCACAGUGCGUCAGAAAACAACCUGUCGAUUCAUGUUCCAACACUUGUAAUUGUGGACACCAUGACACCACUAAGCCUUUUUCACUUGUUAAUUCCUCAAUAAAGUUGUUGGGAAGUUUGGGCUCUUCAGUAGACCUAACAACCCACAAGAAGCUCUUGUUGCUAUUCUUCAAACCCCAUGCCAAUUCUUCCAUUUGCUCAUCUCCUAAUUUGGUUAUACUUCCAAAUGAUACAUACACCACUGAGCUAAUUGGUUGAUGGUUUAACCAAUUUAGACAUUCAUUUGUCAUUGGCUUGAAGACACUAAGACCAUACUCUUUAUCAUCAUGUAGUCUCUUGUCUAAGUACAUUGAUGGUAUUGUUGGUCCAAUUGUCUUUAUUGGAUAUAUCUUUGACAUCCAUUCAAUUACCUACAUGUCAAACAAUAAAAAGUUCAUGUAACCAUUUGAAUAAUUUGUACAAUAACUUAGGUGACUAGAACAGAAAGUCUAAGGCAUUAUACAUAGUUUAAUUCCUUCUAUGUUUUCUAUACUAUCCAUAGCAGAGUCAGAAUUUUCAUUAAGCAGUAUCCAUAGCAGAGUCAGAAUUUUCAUUAAACAGUAUCCAUAGCAGAGUCAGAAUUUUCAUUAAUCAGUAUCCAUAGCAGAGUCAGAAUUUUCAUUAAUCAGAUGAAGAAGUUAAGGGGCUUCAAUAAUACCUCACAUAUGCUUUGUCAGUUCAUUUUUUAUACGCGAAGAAGAAACAGAACGACAUGUUACCUCUUUCUCCAACUCAUAGAAGCUAUUGAUUAGAACACAAUCAACUUUGUCAAGAUUUGAGAAUUGAUUUGCUAACAUUUCAACUAUCCUUUCUGCUUCAGGACUAAUAACAAAAGAAGGUACAUCUGAUGCAUCGAUCGAAUUUGGAAAUCCAGGAAUUAAUAUUUCUUCGUCAUUUUGAGUAGGUGGAAGUUUUAUCACCCCUUUAUGUACAUGGUAAUAAAGAUUAUCCACUACACAAUUUUGUGUGAAAAAUGCAGCACUAAUUAAUCCAAAUUGUUUUGCAACUUCAACAGCCCAAGGAAUGAAUGGAUCAUAUACUAUGCAAUUUACAGGACAAUCACUAUUUUCCAAUUUUUUAAUAAGCUGAGACAGAGUAUCCGAACCAACUUCUUUGAAUCGUGUUAUGUAGGCUACGAAAUUUUCUGCUUGAUGGAAACCACCAUCAUCGUAGCCAUCAGAAAUCGCCUCGAUUGAUACUGAAGUUGACAAUUCUUGCAUUGUUUUCAAACAGGAUUUUGUGAGUGCUAUAGUGAUUUUAACGCGUUUGGAUUGUAAACGUUUGGAGAAUUGAAGCAUUGGGUUGAUAUGACCUUGGCCUGGAAAUGGCAAAAUUAAGCAAUGAGCUUUGUGAGUAUUCAUUUUUUAUUUUUUAUUUUUUGCAACUUCUCAAUGAAUUGAGUUAAUAAUAAUAGAUAGGAUGAGAAAAAUUAUGUGGUUGUUAUAGUUAGGUGAUAGAGUUUGAAGUGUCUUUUUGGCUUAUUUUGUCUAUUAUUGAUACAAAGUUUUUAUUGCAAACAUGUGUAAUAAAUAUGCCAAUAUAUAUUGUUUGAUAUAUUACUUGGAAUCUAGGGAUAUCACUUUUAUUUUGAGGGAUAAAGAAUAACUAAUCUCAAGAUUAAUUUUGAUGAUUAUGUUUGGCUAAUUUUGAAAUAAUUAAUUUCGAGAUAACUCGAUUCCUAACCAACAUGUACAGUGACACAAGUGUUAAGAAGUCCCAUAUCGGUAAAGGAAUGAAAAUUUGAUCUCCUUAUAUGGACUUAGACAAACAUCUCCUUAUAAACUAAUUUUUGAGGUUGAGUUAGACACAGAUAACAAAACUUAAUAAUAAACGAUAUCAUUUAAAAUGUUGUCUAAAAAAAGUGACACAAUUUAUUACUUUACUUGGAAGAUGCCUUUUUGUAGACAUUUACUUUUAAUUACUGAAUUUAAAUAAUAAAAUAUUUUGAUUGUAUCUUAAAUUCAAAUAAUCAUAUAAUUUGCAAUAAAAAUUACGGACCGAUAUAACUGAAUUUAUGUAAAAGGGUUAAAAAUAUUCUUAAAUUAUGUAAAAUUAAAUAAAAAUAUUCUUAACUAAUAACUUGGUUUAAAAUGCUAUUGUCGUCAAUAGUUUAAUUCAAAAAUAUUCUUAUUGUUACUUAAUUAACGAAUUACUUAUCCACCGUCUAGCUCCCCUCUCUCGCUUCCUGUUCCCCAAAAUAUCAAAUAAUAUUAAGAUCAUAAUUACUCACUCUUUAAUAUAAAUGCAUAAUAAUUAUAAUUAACGUGAAAUUUGUGUUGUGUGUCAUUUAAAAAAAUAUAAAAGAAAGGAUACUAGGAAGAUUCAGGUCAAACUUUGGUAAUUCAAUAAGAAAAAGAAAUUACAAAAUACAAAUCCAUUUCUUGAUUAUUUUUAUGGCUCUUAAUUAACUUUUUUAUUACUUAGAGAUAUAUUAACCAACUUAUAGCUUGUUACAUAAAUAGUCUUAGCAAAUGUCAUCAAUCCAUACCAUCAAUAGACACUAUUACAAAUUAUAGCUUGUUACAUAAAUAGACAUAUUAUAGCUUGUUACAUAAACAGUCAAUUUAUAGCUUAUUACAUAAAUAGUCUUAACAAAUGUCAUCAAUCCAUACCAUCAAUAGACACUAUUACGAAUUAUAGCUUGUUACAUAAAUAGCCGAAUAAUAGCUUUAUAGCUUGUUACACUUGUUACAUAAAUAGCCAAAAUAUUUGCUUGUUACAUAAAUAGCCAAUUUUUAGCUUGUUACAUAAAUAGACAAAUUAUAGCUUGUUACAUAAAUAGUCUUAGCAAAUAUCAUCAAUCCAUACCAUCAAUAGACACUAUUACAAAUUAUAGCUUGUUACAUAAAUAGCCAAAUUAGAGCUUGUUACAUAAAUAGCCAAUUUAGAGCUUGUUACAUAAAUAGCCAAAUUUUUAGCUUCUUAUAUAAAUAGCCAAAUUAUAGCUUGUAACAUAAAUAGCCAAAUUAUAGCUUGUUACAUAAAUAGUCUUAGCAAAUGUCAUCAAUCCAUACCAUCAAUAGACACCAUUACAAAUUAUAGCUUGUUACAUAAAUAGCCAAAUUAGAGCUUGUUACAUAAAUAGCCAAUAUAUAGCUUAUUAUAUAAAUAGCCAAUUUUUAGCUUGUUACAUAAAUAGCCAAAUUGUUUUAGCCUUCCACAAUAAUAGGUAAAAGGUAGAAAAUAAAGGAAGAUUCAAGUCAAUAUCCUACUUAGAAGAAAUAGUCAUCAACUUGGAAACAAAUUCUUCAAUGUUUUUAUCUGAACUUCCUCCUUCAUUCACAACAUUUCUAGCUAUUUCCUUCCAUUUCUUUGCAUUUUCUCUAAUUAGUUUUCCUUUAUCUUCUUCCAUCACUAGCUUUAUACAUUCCUCUAUAACUUCUCUUCUAACUACCCCUUUUUCAUCUUGUUUGGCUCUAACACCUAUUUCCCAAACAUCUUUCACAAGCUUUGCAUUUGUUGGUUGAUCUGUCCAUUGUGGCAUUGUCACUAUUGGCACUCCCAAACUAAUUUCUUCCAGUGUCGAAUUCCAUCCACAGUGCGUUAGAAAACAUCCUAUCGACUCAUGUUCCAACACUUGUAAUUGUGGACACCAUGACACCACUAGUCCUUUUUCAAUUGUUAAUUCCUCUAAAAAGUUGUUGGGAAGUUUAGAUUCUUCAUUAGACCUAACAACCCACAAGAAGCUCUUGUUGCUAUUCUUCAAACCCCAUGCCAAUUCUUCCAUUUGCUCACUUCCUAGUUUGGCUAAACUUCCAAAUGAUACAUACAACACUGAGCUAAUUGGUUGAUGGUUUAACCAAUUUAGGCAUUCAUUUGUCAUUGGCUUGAACAUACUAAGCCCAUACUCUUUAUCAUCAUGUAGUCUCUUGUCUAAGUACAUUGAUGGUAUUGUUGGUCCAAUUGUCUUUAUUGGAUAUAUCUUCGACAUCCAAUCAAUUACCUACGUGACAAACAAUUAGCAGAUGCAUACAUAUCUUAUUUUAAUUGAGUUUAAGAGUUCACUUGAUUGAAAAAGAGCAAAAAGAUUCAAAAUACAAACUCAUACAAGUAUAAGAAUUUUCAUCAGACUAUUUCGUUAUAUUUUUAUCAGGUAAUACUUAUCUUUUAAAAUGAAAAAUAGUGACUUACAAACAUAGAAAAAGAACAAAAAGAUGAAGAGUAUUUGUGUUACCUCUUUCUCCAAUUCAUAAAAGCUAUUGAUUAAUACCCAAUCAGUUUUCUCAAGAUUUGAGAAUUAAUUCACCAAUAGUUCAAUUAAUUUAUCUGUUUCAGGACUUGACUCAAAACUAGGUACAUAUGAACUUUCGAUUGUACAUGAUAAUCCAGGAAUUAAUAUUUUUUCAUCACUUUUAGUAGGUGGAAGUUUUAUUACCCCUUUAUGUGCAUGGUAAUAAAUAUUAUCCACUACACAAUUUUGUGUGAAAAAUGCAGCACUAAUUAAUCCAAAUUGUUUUGCAACUUCAACAGCCCAAGGAAGGAAUGGAUCAUAUACUAUGCAAUUUACAUGACAUCCACUUUUUGCCAAUUUUUUAAUAAGCUGAGCCAGAGUAUCCGAACCAACUUCUUUGAAUCGUGCUAGGUAGGACUCGUAUGUUUUUGCUUGGUUGAUGCCAUCAUCGUCGUAGCCAUCAGAUAUGGCCUCGAUUGACACGGAAGUUGGCAAUUCUUUCAUGUUUUUUAAGAACGAUUUCGUAGGUGCUAUAGUGAUUUUAACACCUUUGGAUUGUAAACGUUUGGAGAAUUGAAGCAUUGGGUUGAUAUGACCUUGGACUGGAUAUGGCAAAAUCAAGCAAUGAGCUUUGUGACUACUAUUACUCAUCUUUUGCGAGUAUUAUCUCUUUAAUCGUUGAAGGACGUGAAAAUCGUGUUGUGAAAUGUGAUUUGUAUAUUAUAAGUUAGAAUUUUUUAUAUUAAUUUCAUGAAUAAAAAUAUAAGAUAAAUUAAUCAAAGUUUACGUAAUUAUUAUUAUAAGUCAUUUAAAAUGUGUCCAUUAGUAUAACUACAUACGAGUAUGGUCCAUAUUGCAUCUAAGUCAAAUAAACCAUAAAUUAUUGGUGCUAUUUUCAUUGAAUUACAAUCAAUUUACUGUGUGUGUUAAAUUCUCGAAAAUUAUUCCAGCUGGAGAUAUAUAAAAAUUAUUUAUUUUUAUAUUUGUAAUUUGUAUAAUAACAUCUGUAUUUGUAUAAGUGUAAGUGUAUAGAAAAGAUUUAUAUAUACAUUUUUUCUCUCUUUAUACAAAGAAAAAUAUUUUAUACAUUUUAUAUCGAAAUGUAUAAAAUGACUAAUUGUAUACUAAAAUUGGCUAAUUGUAUAUCGAAUCCGAUGGCAAAAAAAAGGCGAUGUUUGCUGCGAAUUACAAUUAAAAUAAAAUACGGUCAUAACAUUUAAUAUAAAUUAACAAUUUUUUAUUUUAUACAAUUUUCACUUUUAAAAAAGAGUUAAGAAAAACAAAUUGUAAUAGAGAAAAGUAUAAAUUUCAUAUCAAUAUACCAAAUAUUUUAUAUGUAUAUUAUCCAAUAUACCAUAAAUACAUGUAUGUUUAAUAUAAUAUUCACAAAAUAUCAUCAAACCAACGCAAUUUUCAUUAUUACAUGAUUUAUUAAAGUAAAACAUAUGUUAAUUAAUUAUGGUAAAAUAAAAUGAACUAUAAAUUUAAACAUGUGACAUACAUAUAUUGACUUAGUUUAUACACUCGGUGUGGGUAAAUUUUACCCGUGGUAUUGUAUAGAAUAUAUAACAUGAAUAUUGUUGAAUCAUGAUUUACUGCAAUUAGUGCCGGCAAAAUGAGCCCAUAUUUUGGUAACCCGCCCAAACCGACCAUAUUUUAAUGGGUUGGUGAGUGAUUUUUCACAUGGAUAAAAUAUGGGUUGAUACUGAUAUUUGACCCAUAAAAAUAUGGGUAAAGUAUGAAUUAAACUUCUAACUUUUAUUCAUUUAAAAUUCAUGAUAUCAAUAAAAUUAGUGUAAUUUUUCUUCCUUUUUAUGUUAUUCAAUAGAACUAACUAUUCUUUUCUAUUGAAAAUGUGAAAUUUUUGACCCUCCAAAAUAUAUAUAAUUUAAAUGUACAAUCUUUUGUUAAUUAUAAUUACAUUUAAUGUAUUUAUUAAAUUUUAUAUUGGAUAUAUAAUCAAUAAUAGUGUAAAAUAUGCAAAUCAUGUAUUAGUAUUGGCAUUGCUUAAAGUGCAUUACGCAUGUUUUAGUCCUAAAAUGCAACAUUUACUUUGAAAUUAAAAACAUUUUCAUCUUGUUAUUACAUAAAUUUAUUUUAUAUUGAAAAGUUAUAGGAUUUUUUUUAUGAUACAAUAAAACAAAAUGAAGCAUGUUUAACAUUUUCAUCUAAAAGAAGACUAAAAUAUCUUCUCCAUAUUGAAUUUUAAGUAAAGUACUAUUUAUUCAUGAAAAUAUGGGUAAACUAGUAUUUUACCGAUCCAUUUAUUACCCAACUCAUUUUUACCCAUAUCAAAUAUGGGGAGUUGAAUGAUUACGCAUUUUAUGUUUAUCCAUUUUCAACCAGCCCACAUUUGAUCAAACCCGCUUAUUUGCCACCUCCAACUGCAAUUAUAAUCCCGAAAAAUAGUGAGAGUAGCUAAAUAAUUUUUUAUUUUGUUCUUAAUCUAUAUAAGAACCAUAUUAUUGUAUUUAAACUUAGGAUACGAAUAAUAUAUGCAAAAGGGCCUAAAAUAUCCUUAAAUUAUUGGAAAUGGUAUAAAAUAAUCCUUAAUUUAUUUAUCUAUUGGCUCUCAAAUAUCCCUGACAUCCAUUUAUUGACUCCCAAAUACCCGCGACAUCCACGUAUCGAUUGCUAAAUACCCUUCUAUCCACCUUAUUUGGGUCCAAUAUUAACCACUUUUAUAGCGGAUUAUCAUUUAAAUAAUUUUUUUAAAAUACCUAGCAACCAUUUAUUGACCACAACUAAAUUACUUGAAUUAAUUUACAAAACUCAUCCAUUAUAUUCGAUCCAAAUUGACAAUACUUGACUCAAAUUAAUUAUAUCGGCCUUUAUUAACUACACCCGCCUCAAAUUACAUUUACCCCAUCGAUUAAAACAUAUACACCCUCCGUUCCAAACAUUCUGAAAUACAUAUACAAAGGGAGCAAGACGAGUGAGAGAGGAGGAAGGUAAGUGAGAUAGGAGAGCAAUGAAUGAGAAAGUCAGUGUAUUUCAUACACAUGAAUUCACUUAUAUACAAUGUAUCUGAAAUAAAUAUGAAAAGACAAGUCAAAUGUCGACAUGUAAAAUUGUCACGAUCCAAAUCGGGCCGCGACUGACACCCACACUUACCCUCCUAUAUGAGCGAACCAACCAAUCUAAACCUCAACAUUUCAAUAUAAUAUCAACAGGAAGUAAUGCGGAAGACUUAAACUCAUUAAUAAAAACCAAUUCAAUAACUUCUAAAAACUCAACAACUAUUAUUAUCCCCAAAAUCUGGAAGUCAUCAUCACAAGAACAUCUAUCCUCAAAUUAUUAAUCUAAGAGUAUCUAAGAAGCUAAAAUACAUAAAAUGCUAGUCCAUGCCGGAACUUCAAGGCAUCAAGACAUGAAGAGGAGGAUCCAGUCCAAGCUAGAAGCAUUAGCUCACCCUGAUAUCCGGAGUAAUGAAGACUGGCUAGAGUUGCGGUUGAGUUGAAGACGACGGCACGUUUGCUGCACUCCACAAAUAAUCAAAAAGAAAACAUACAAGUAGGGGUCAGUACAAAACACAGGUACUGAGUAGAUAUCAUCGGCCAACUCAAAAUAGAAAACAGUAUAUAUCAGAUAAUAUCAUAAAAUCAACUAUUAUCCUUAGCAUGCAGCAUUUACAAUUACCAUAACCCUUGGUUACAACACCAAGCACAUCAAUGAGGACUCACGCCUCCUCAUCAUACUCAUUUGGGGAUUUAGGUUCAUUAGAUUGAGUAUAUUAACAUCUUUCAAGAUUCAUUAUCUUUAUUCCUCUCGUGUCGAUACGUGACACUCCGCUUCUCAUAUACUAUCCUGGUGUCGGAACGUGACACUCCGAUCCUUAUUCUAUCCUGGUGUCGGAAUGUGACACCCGAUCCAUAUUCUAUCCUGGUAUCGGAAUGUGGCACCCGAUCCAUAUUCUAUCCUGGUAACGGAACGUGGCACCCGAUCCAUAUACUAUCCUGGUGUCGGAACGUGACACUCCGAUCCUCAUAUACUAUCCUGGUACCGGAACGUGGCACCCGAUCCAUAUGCUAUCCUGGUGUCGGAACGUGACACUCCGAUCCUCAUAUACUAUCCUGAUACCGGAACGUGGCACCCGAUUCAUAUACUAUCCUGGUGUCGGAAUGUGACACCUGAUCCCCUAAUCUCACUACUUUCGUUCACCAAGCCUUCUUUUACACUAAGGCAUCAUCAUUAACAAAGUAGAUUAGGGUUUCUCAAGAUUUAGGAUUCAAUAGCUUCAUCAUGCUUAUUUUAUCACAAUUACAUAAUCACAUUCAUGCAAGCAUACAAUUAAGCAUAUAGAAGGGUUUACAAUACUACCCAUACAUAUCAUUCGCUAUUAAGAGUUUACUACGAAUAGUAUAAAAACCAUAACCUACCUCCACCGAAGAUUCGUGAUCAAGCAAGCAAUUUUUCUCAAGGCUUUGUUUUCUCUUCGUUUUCCUCUUGUCUCGAUCGAUCCUCUCUCUCUCUUCUUGUUCUUUCUAUUUUUCUUUAUUCAAACCCUCUUUCUUUUACCCUAAUUAGCAUAUAAUUAAGAAUACAAGAUGGCAAUAAUAACCCACUAAUUUACUCAAGGUUACCUCUUUUAGCCCCCAAGUAAUUGAGUUAUUAAUAUUAAACCACUAACUUUAUAAUUAUAAGCCGGAAUAGUCCAAAACGUCCCUUAAAACAUUAAAGAAAUCCGACUCCGCCUGGGAUUACGCAGCCUGUGACGGGCCGUCGUGCCUGCGACGGUCCGUCCUGCUGCUCCGUCACAGAGUUCAGAGACUCAAUUCUCUGAAGAGUCUGUGACGGUCCGUCACGCCUGUGACGGUCCGUCCUGCCAUUCCGUUACGAAGUUCAGAGAGUCGAUUUCAGUACCCAUUUUUCAGAAUUUCUAAGUGUUUUGAAACGAGACCCCCUCGACGGUCCGUCGUGCCCAUGACGGUCCGUCGUGGGUUCCGUCAUCUCAGCCUGUUUUUCCAGAAAUAAAAUCUGCUGCUCAAAACGACUAAACAGGUCGUUACAAAAAUUCUACUGAAAAUGUUAUCGUUAUAAAUAUGAAAAACAUAUCAUCUAGCCAUACAAUAAUUUAUUCAUUUGUUUACUUAUAAAACAUUGAUAUCAUUGUGGAAAAUUUAAUUAGCUCCAAGCAAUGAAGAUCUGGAUCCAACAUAUCUAUAGUUUAUCUUGCAUUAAGUAGCUUUAGUGCCUAAUUCUGAUAUCUAAUCCAGAAUCAUUUGCUCAUCUUAAUUAAUAUAUAAAUUUGAAAUAUAAAUUAACAAAUUUUAGCUAAUUAUAUUCAAAAGUUCAUUAAAAGUGAGAUGACAAAUAAAGCAUAACAAUUUGGGAGUGUGAAAAAAAACCCAAAUUCACAUAAACAUUAUCUUCAUUGAUAACCAAAUUAUAAUAACAACACUUGAGUUACAAAAGAGAAGUACCGAAAUAAUAAGUAACUAAAGAUAGAGAUAAGAAAGGAAUGAAAAGUUAAAGACUCUAGUAAGAAGAUGAGAGGAAAAGACAAUUUCUUCACAAUACACACAACAAAGUAAUAACAUACUAAUUACAGAUAGAUUACAUAGAAGAAAUUAACUAAAAGGGGAUGAGAUACUAGAACAGAGAAAGGAGAUGCGAGAUAACUGAAAGUCAAAAUUUCGACAUAAUUUUCAUAACCGUUCUCCUAACUCCUAGUCUUAUUUAAUAAAUGGUUAUUAGGUCUGAAUCCCAAAUAAAAAUCUCUAAUAGCCCAUAGGCCUUUAGAGAGUCUACUUGAUUCACAACAAAGUGACUCAUUGACCAUGAUAAGAAAAAUAAAAUUACAAAAUACAAACCAACUUCUUAAUUAUUUUUUAUGGUUCUUAAUGACUUGGGAUAUAGUAACCAAUUUAGAGACAAAUUCUUCAAUAUUUUUAUCUGAACUUCCUCCUUCAUCCACAACAUUUCUAGCUAUUUCCUUCCAUUUCUUUGCAUUUUCCCUAAUUAGUUUUCCUUUAUCUUCUUCCAUCACUAGCUUUAUACAUUCUUCUAUAACUCCUCUUCUAACUAUCCCUUUUUCAUCUUGUUUGGCUCUAACACCUAUUUCCCAAACAUCUUUCACAAGCUUUGCAUUUGUUGGUUGAUCAGACCAUUGUGGCAUUUCCACCAUUGGCACGCCCAAACUAAUCGCUUCCAGAGUCGAAUUCCACCCACACUGCGUCAGAAAACACCCUAUCGACUCAUGUUCCAACACUUGUAAUUGUGGACACCAUGACACCACUAAGCCUUUUUCACUUGUUAAUUCCUCUAAAAAGUUGUUGGGAAGUUUGGAUUCUUCACUAGACCUAACAACCCACAAGAAGCUCUUGUUGCUAUUCUUCAACCCCCAUGCCAAUUCUUCCAUUUGCUCACUUUCUAGUUUGGCUAAACUUCCAAAUGAUACAUACAACACUGAGUUAAUUGGUUGAUGGUUUAACCAAUUUAGGCAUUCAUUUGUCAUUGGCUUGAACAUACUAAGACCAUACUCUUUGUCAUCAUGUAGUCUCUUGUCUAAGUACAUUGAUGGUAUUGUUGGUCCAAUUGUCUUUAUUGGAUAUAUCUUCGACAUCCAAUCAAUUACCUACAUGACAAAAAGUACAAGCAAAAUUAGAUGUAUCUUGUUAUUUUUUUAUACUCCUAAAGAAUUAACCUAAAUAGUCGACAUGCGCCGCUUUAAGAAAGAUAUAUUAAAUUAAAAAGACCAAACAAGCACCCAAAACAUCUAUAUAUAACUACGAAAACUAUAACAACCUCAAUGAACAUAUGAUUUUGUCAGUUCAUUUUUUAUAUAACUUCGAUUAAACAUCUAUAAAAUGGUUAAAAAGCACCAAAACAACCACCAAAAAUAUGUUACCUUUUUCUCCAACUCAUAGAAGCUAUUGAUUAGAACCCAAUCCACUUUGUCAAGAUUUAAAAAUUGAUUUACCAUCAAUUCAAGUAGUGUUGGUCCUUCAGUUUUCAGAUGUACAAAUGUAGGUACAUCUGAACUCUCGAUUGUACAUGAUAAUUCAGGAAUUAAUAUUUCUUCAUCAUUUUUAGUAGGUGGAAGUUUUAUUACCCCUUUAUGUACAUGGUAAUAAAUAUUAUCCACCACACAAUUGUGUGAAAAAUACAGCACUAAUUAAUCCAAAGUUUUUUGCCACUUCAACAACCCAAUAAUUGUAUGGAUCAUAUACUAUGCAAUUUACAGGACAACCACUAUUUGCCAAUUUUUGAAUAAGUUGAGACAGAGU